This 437-nucleotide ribosomal RNA is filed under the name uncultured Oscillospiraceae bacterium. RNAcentral describes it as "partial 16S ribosomal RNA". It matches the Rfam family "Bacterial small subunit ribosomal RNA", at positions 341 to 792 of the family's 1533-position model. The record is from RNAcentral. Lineage: Bacteria; Bacillati; Bacillota; Clostridia; Eubacteriales; Oscillospiraceae.
ACGGAAGGCAGCAGUGGGGAGUAUUGGGCAAUGGGCGAAAGCCUGACCCAGCAACGCCGCGUGAAGGAAGAAGGUCUUCGGAUUGUAAACUUCUUUUAUGAGGGACGAAGGACGUGACGGUACCUCAUGAAUAAGCCACGGCUAACUACGUGCCAGCAGCCGCGGCAAUACGUAGGCGGCGAGCGUUAUCCGGAUUUACUGGGUGUAAAGGGCGCGUAGGCGGGGAUGCAAGUCAGAUGUGAAAUCUAUGGGCUUAACUCAUAAACUGCAGUUGAAACUGUAUCUCUUGAGUGCUGGAGAGGUAGAUGGAAUUCCUUGUGUAGCGGUGAAAUGCGUAGAUAUAAGGAAGAACACCAGUGGCGAAGGCGAUCUACUGGACAGUAACUGACGCUGAGGCGCGAAAGCGUGGGGAGCAAACAGGAUUAGAUACCCUGGUA